AGCUUUGCGCAGUGGCAGUAUCUUAGCCAAUGAGGUUUAUCCGAGGCGCGAUUAUUGCUAAUUGAAAACAAAGUGUAUAUACAAAAACACAUGGCUUAAACCCAAAUUUUAGUCUGUUUCCAACUAUGGA
This is a small nuclear RNA of 130 nucleotides. Its record names the gene U4. It matches the Rfam family "U4 spliceosomal RNA". Rfam says of the family: U4 small nuclear RNA (U4 snRNA) is a component of the major U2-dependent spliceosome. The record is from Ensembl.